CUCCGGUAAUUAUUAACUGGUGGCGUGUAAUUACCCCUGCCAUUCGUCAUUCAUGUUUUGGAUAUGAGGUAAUUUAAACCAUGGUGACACACCGCCCCGCCCAUCCCUCCGCCCUUCCUGCCCCAUCCCCACCUCUUCCCGUCCCGCCCAGCCCCGCCCCCAUCAUUAUUCAGAUUGUCCUGAUUGGUCAAAAAAAAUAUUCCCGCCAAAAGUAUUGACCAAUAAGGUUGUUAUUCCUAUGGAGCAAUCACAGCAAGCCUACGAGUGAAAUGUGUAUUUAAGAGAUAGGGGUUAGCGAGAUGUGUGAAGGACCGAGAGAACGGAGCAAUGGCUUGUGUUUCUGAGGUUGCUGAAAACCAAAGCUUCCCAUACCGGGAUUCGAACCCGGACCGUCUGGAUGAAAGCCAGAAAUCCUACGCGUUAGACCAUAUGGGAGGAUCUGUAGAAGAAGAGCACGAUGACGAGAAUCUAAAAAGGAUCAGAAUGUUUCAUUGUUGAAACUGUGACAGACUGUGAUGCUGUGACAGACGAAAGUGUGCUAUAUCAUACAUUUCAAACCUCGUCUCUCUCCUUCCCUUUCUGACCUGGACCUGGAUGCUUCAGUGCCCUGACUACAGAUAAACAGCAGAAUAGUUUAAUAAUGAGGAAAACUGACCAAAGUGGCAGGACAGUACAAAUAAAGAUGUUAUUGACAUUUAAGGGAAUGAACAUACAGAUUAUACAAUAGCCAAGAACUCCCAUCCAUGCAGCAGCAGAACAUGCCAGCCUGUAUCUCAGGGUCUUGUACUUCAGGAAAGUGACAGGAUGGACCACCGCCAUGUAACGCUCCACACAGAUCAAACAGAGAAACAGAGGACGGGCGCAGAUAAAUACUCCCCCAUAAAAACUACUAAUGGUGUAAAUUCUAAACAGACAAAACUAAGAACGUAGAAUAAACAGCGUAUGCAGAUGAACAUCUCGUUAACAGUCAGAUUGAGGCCGAAAAACUCAGACACAACCGCACUUCCUUUUCUCAUCAAAAUAAGCCAUAAGACGUAGGAAUUGAUAGGUAAACCCACAAUGAAAUUGAUUGCAUAACCUGGAAUGUACAUAGGGUCUGUAUAUCCUGCCCAAGGAUUCCUGCUUGUAGCAUUUCUAAACAGGUUUGAGAUGGGUGUGCUGGAAAGCCCAUCAGAGACGUUCAUCUUCAGAGUGCACACCCCUUCUCACAAUAAAAUAUGAAAUCUGAAAUAAAUUACACAAAGAAAAUUAUAUAAGGGCCAAAUAUAAUGAAACAAACAGCCUGUUUUCUUUAUCAGAACAAAUUCAUUGUAUAGUGUUUUUUUGUGCAUAGAUCUAGAUCAACAUAGAUCUAAAGUGUUCAGUUGAUAUAGUCAUGAUAAAUUUCAUAACUACCAUAGUAAACCAUAGUAAUGAUAGUACAGUUAAAAAGUGAUCUCAACUUUCAGUCAUAAACAGAAUGCAGGAUACCACAAGAAGAAUACAUUAGUAUAUUAAUUUAAUGGACUGACUAAUUAUCAAUUCACAUUAGUUUAAACAUUAUUAAUCAUUAUAUUUUAACUUAAUUAAAUUCUAAAUUCAUUAUAAUUUACAGCAUUCUUAAGCCUAAAUUGUACAAAUUAGUGUUGUGUAAAAUGUCUUAACUAGUAUUAUUUAACAAUGUUCAUUACUGUCAUAAGUACUGUGAUGCAUCCUUCCUGUAAAUUGUUUCUGAGUUCAGCAUUGUUGAGAACUGCACCCUUAAAAUGAUCAGUGUAUUGUUCUGAGAACAGCAACAUCUUUAUCUGAUACACAGAUGCUCUUCUUUGUCAUCAGUUUCAACUUAAAGUGAUGUUUAUUUGAUGGGGUAGGAUUUGGUGGUCUACUAGGUUUUGUAUAGUUAUUAGGGUUUCUCUA
Astyanax mexicanus (Mexican tetra) is the source of this 1896-nucleotide long non-coding RNA. RefSeq lists it as uncharacterized. The transcript has 3 exons. Lineage: Eukaryota; Metazoa; Chordata; Actinopteri; Characiformes; Acestrorhamphidae. The record is from RefSeq and is a predicted model, not a curated record.